Molecule: ribosomal RNA, 253 nt
Filed under: uncultured prokaryote
Description: partial 16S ribosomal RNA
Rfam family: Bacterial small subunit ribosomal RNA
Source: RNAcentral
ACGGAGGGAGCUAGCGUUGUUCGGAAUUACUGGGCGUAAAGCGUGCGCAGGCGGCUUUGCAAGACAGGUGUGAAAUCCCCGGGCUUAACCUGGGAACUGCAUCCGAGACUGCAUAGCUAGAGUAUGGGAGAGGGAAGUGGAAUUUCAGGUGUAGCGGUGAAAUGCGUAGAUAUCUGAAGGAACAUCAGUGGCGAAAGCGACUUCCUGGACCAAUACUGACGCUCAUGUGCGAAAGCGUGGGGAGCAAACAGGA